UGGGGAAUAUUGGACAAUGGGCGAAAGCCUGAUCCAGCCAUGCCGCGUGUGUGAAGAAGGUCUUCGGAUUGUAAAGCACUUUAAGUUGGGAGGAAGGGCAUUAACCUAAUACGUUAGUGUUUUGACGUUACCGACAGAAUAAGCACAGGCUAACUCUGUGCCAGCAGCCGCGGUAAUACAGAGGGUGCAAGCGUUAAUCGGAAUUACUGGGCGUAAAGCGCGCGUAGGUGGUUUGUUAAGUUGGAUGUGAAAUCCCCGGGCUCAACCUGGGAACUGCAUUCAAAACUGACUGACUAGAGUAUGGUAGAGGGUGGUGGAAUUUCCUGUGUAGCGGUGAAAUGCGUAGAUAUAGGAAGGAACACCAGUGGCGAAGGCGACCACCUGGACUAAUACUGACACUGAGGUGCGAAAGCGUGGGGAGCAAACA
This 427-nucleotide ribosomal RNA is filed under the name uncultured bacterium. RNAcentral describes it as "partial 16S ribosomal RNA". It matches the Rfam family "Bacterial small subunit ribosomal RNA", at positions 355 to 774 of the family's 1533-position model. The record is from RNAcentral.